Molecule: small RNA, 68 nt
Organism: Streptomyces sp. CB01580
Lineage: Bacteria; Bacillati; Actinomycetota; Actinomycetes; Kitasatosporales; Streptomycetaceae
Rfam family: ASdes TB sRNA
Source: Rfam
AGCUCGUCCGGGUCCACGGCCCGCGAGGUGAGCAGGUAGUCGCGCAUCACGAUCCCGUGCCGGCCCUC